This 943-nucleotide long non-coding RNA is filed under the name Vigna radiata. RNAcentral describes it as "long non-coding RNA (VRAD_LNC005287)". The record is from RNAcentral. Lineage: Eukaryota; Viridiplantae; Streptophyta; Magnoliopsida; Fabales; Fabaceae.
GGAACAUGGAGAUUUUACAGGCUUCACGUAACAAGUAGCGACAAGGCCUUUUUGUAGCAGACUUGGAAGCAACGUUGUAUAGGUCAAAGUGAUAGGAGUGAAGCUUGUAGGCCUUUUCUCUUGAUCAAACAUUUUUCUACCCAGCAACUUGGUGGGAAGUUGAGUUUGGAUUUGGUUUCCAGUUUUGUCUUGAACCCGUUUCAGAUGGAGGGUAAGCUAAUGGUAUUUGAAUGGUUGGAGAUGGUUGAGCUCUCUUUUUUUUCUCUCCUCCUCCCAUGCUUAGACCCGACUUGUUCACAUUUGUUGCCAUGGUAGGACCUUGUACGAUCUUUUCAAUCUUCACACCAACUUCAAUUCUUUCUUCGAUUAACAUCCAUCUCGUCAUCACUGAUAAGAGACUAUCCUUGAUCAACAAUUUCUUUCCACUUUUGGGGCAUAUCCAUUGGAUGAUUCAGACUCCUUCACCAAGCUCUACAGUUACACUCUGUCUGGUGCCACAUCCACGUUAUAUUUGUAGUGCUUCAAGAACGCAUCCACCGGAUCAUCCUAAGACUAGAUGCGCGAAGGUUCAAGAUGAGCAUACCAGUUAGUGCCAUGCCAGCCAGACUCUUUGAAGAAACAAAAUGAAAACUUUUCACCAUAUACAUGCACCACCAUUUUCUUUCCAUACGCCAUGAGAUGAGUCUUGAGACAAAUGCUCUUUCUAAUUUCUCCAAUUUGGGUGACUAAGCCUUGCAACAUUUUCAAACUUAACGCUUCAUUCACCUUCUAUGGCUUUCACCCUUUUUCUAGCACUUCAAAUUUACCUCUGUCAACCUCAUCAUCCAUUGGUGUAAUGACUUGGGGGAAAGAUUUUACCUCAGGUUACUGUCUCAUUAUCUUGCUCACAAUACUUGAUUGAAUCACCUUUGUAGGGACCAUGAAAGUGGUUGCCCCAAGCCUG